AACAGAUUUUCCUUAUACUGUUUUAAAAUUUAAAGAUUAAUCUUCACAGAGAGUUUGCAAUGUAUCAGAAAAUGGCCUUUUUUUGAAUGGUAGGAGAGGAAA
Long non-coding RNA from Dipodomys spectabilis (banner-tailed kangaroo rat), 102 nucleotides. RefSeq lists it as uncharacterized. The record is from RefSeq and is a predicted model, not a curated record. Lineage: Eukaryota; Metazoa; Chordata; Mammalia; Rodentia; Heteromyidae. The transcript is spliced from 3 exons.